Molecule: unclassified non-coding RNA, 342 nt
Filed under: soil metagenome
Description: partial contains 5.8S ribosomal RNA, internal transcribed spacer 2, and large subunit ribosomal RNA
Rfam family: 5.8S ribosomal RNA (bases 1-120)
Source: RNAcentral
GAUGAAGAACGCAGCGAAAUGCGAUAAGUAAUGUGAAUUGCAGAAUUCAGUGAAUCAUCGAAUCUUUGAACGCACAUUGCGCCCGCUAGUAUUCUGGCGGGCAUGCCUGUCCGAGCGUCAUUUCAACCCUCAAGCCCCCGGGCUUGGUGUUGGGGAUCGGCGAGCCUCCGCGCCCGCCGUCCCCUAAAUCUAGUGGCGGUCUCGCUGUAGCUUCCUCUGCGUAGUAGCACACCUCGCACUGGGAAACAGCGCGGCCACGCCGUUAAACCCCCAACUUCUGAACGUUUGACCUCGGAUCAGGUAGGAAUACCGCUGAACUUAAGCAUAUCAAUAAGCGGAGGA